CUCAGCAAAUGCCGCGACGCCCCGCGUCGCCCCCGCCGCCUCCGUUCCUGACUCCGCCGCCCCGCCGGCACGCCCCCGCCUCUGGUCCGGACUCCGCCGCCCCGACCAACGCUUCCUCGCCUCCGCUCCGGCCGCCGCCGCCGCCCCGCCCGACGCGCCCCUGCAUCCCUGCCUCAACGACCGCCUCGAGCGUUCGGCCGCCGCCCUCGUCGUCGCUAUGCUCAGGCACGGCGUUUUCGAGCUGGUGUCCCCAACUAUGGAGGUUUACUCGUGGGGAGGAUUGCUCAUGGAUUCUACCCGCAGCUAUCAGGCAAUCGUAGUGUCACGUGGUCACAAUCGGCUAAAGGGACUUGGGACAUGAUCUGCCUUUGUUGCGACACUUUGUUCACAUAAGAUUGCAUAUGCUGAUGGUAAUUUUCUGCCACCGGAACAAGAUAAGUAAAAGAGUUUUAGAGUUUUGCUUCACAGGGAGAACCAGAUAAAAACAUUGAA
Long non-coding RNA from Oryza brachyantha (malo sina), 492 nucleotides. RefSeq lists it as uncharacterized. The record is from RefSeq and is a predicted model, not a curated record. Lineage: Eukaryota; Viridiplantae; Streptophyta; Magnoliopsida; Poales; Poaceae. The transcript is spliced from 2 exons.